RNAcentral lists this long non-coding RNA (486 nucleotides) under Carica papaya (papaya). Its description in RNAcentral is "long non-coding RNA (CPAP_LNC011569)". Lineage: Eukaryota; Viridiplantae; Streptophyta; Magnoliopsida; Brassicales; Caricaceae. The record is from RNAcentral.
AUGGCGGUGUGCUGCCCGAAGUGGCAGUGCUUGGUUGGCCCGCUGUAGGCUAGCCUGCAAGUGCACAGGCCUGCUGCUGCACGCGCAAGUCCUUGGCGUACUAGACGUCGCAUGCGUAGGCCCUUAGCGGACAGGGACUGUUCUUGUAGGCCUGCUGCGCAAACGGCGCACGCACAAUGUGUAGUGCCAGUCCGUACGGGAAGUGACCUAUGGAUGGCCCACUUGCGCGUUACAGGACGCGCACACUGGUCUUGACCCUGCGUCAUGUGUGCGGACGAGACAUGCAUGCUGUGCGCACGUCCUAUGCGUGUGUGCGUGCGUGCGUGCGGAUGGGUCGUGCGCACUGUGUGCAUGCCCUGCGGCUACUGUGCAUGCAUGCGCGCGUUCACAGUGGCUAGCACCCACGUUGGUAAACUGUUUUCUCGUGGGAUUUUUCCUGCAAAUAGGUUUUCUCUUCUUUUAUCGUUUUCUGAUUUUUUUCUAAAU